CUUAGGAAGUCUCACAUUCCCUCUAAGAAGCUCACUCACACCUCUAUUGACAAAAGGGCUUCCUCUUUUCACAAUCACCACCACAACUCACAAUCACAGGAAUUUGGUGAUUAAAGAGUUGAGAAUCAGAGUACUCAUGUAGUAUUUGUUAAUUAUUAGAUUGUGGAAGGCAAAUUUUGGGGGAGGAAGGAUCUUGUUCAGGUUUCUGUUUGUAAUCAAGAUCGUAUUUGAAAAAAAAACAAUUAAAAUUUCUCAAGCUCAUUUUUUUCAGGGUUAGUUAGUCCCAGUUUUCCUAUGCUAAUUAUUACUCCACUAAUAUAGUAGAAACUUGCUGUUUUGACCA
Salvia splendens (bonfire salvia) is the source of this 343-nucleotide long non-coding RNA. RefSeq lists it as uncharacterized. The record is from RefSeq and is a predicted model, not a curated record. Lineage: Eukaryota; Viridiplantae; Streptophyta; Magnoliopsida; Lamiales; Lamiaceae. The transcript has 2 exons.